CGUCUAUAUACGUAUAGCAUAUCAAUAAGCGGAGGAAAAGAAACUAACAAGGAUUCCCCUAGUAACGGCGAGUGAAGCGGGAAGAGCUCAAAUUUGAAAUCUUAAAGGGUUUCCCUUUACGAAUUGUAGUUUAAAGAAGUGUUUUCUGUUGGAGCUUCGGUAAAAGUUCUUUGGAAUAGGACAUCAUAGAGGGUGAGAAUCCCGUAUUUGACCGUUACUUUCCAGCUGUGUGAUACACUUUCAAAGAGUCGGAUUGUUUGGGAAUGCAGUCCAAAAUGGGUGGUAAAUUUCAUCUAAAGCUAAAUAUUGGCGAGAGACCGAUAGCGAACAAGUACCGUGAGGGAAAGAUGAAAAGAACUUUGAAAAGAGAGUUAAACAGUACGUGAAAUUGUCAAAAGGGAAGCGUUUGACACCAGUGUUGUUUAGUUGAAAAUCAAUUCAAUAGUUUUUGAUUUUGAGUAGUAUUGACUUCAUCAGCUUGCUGCUUUUUUUUCAGGAAUUAUUGAAUGCACUUUUCAGUUAACAAGUCAACAUCAAUUUCUUUUGUUGUAAAAGGGUAAGAGGAAGGUGGCUUACGUUUCGGCGUAAGUGUUUAUAGCCUUUUACCUCUGCAAUCGGAGAGAUUGAGGACAGCAGCGUAGACUCCUUCUGGGGUUAGAUACACUUGUGCUAAGCUAUAGCCUUGUAUAGACAACUUGUUGACUAUGCUCAGUCAUGUAGCUUACUCGCUUGUGCUAUUUUACCUACGCUUAGGAUGUUGAUAUGCAUGACUGAUAU
This 777-nucleotide ribosomal RNA is filed under the name uncultured Neocallimastigales. RNAcentral describes it as "partial large subunit ribosomal RNA". It matches the Rfam family "Eukaryotic large subunit ribosomal RNA", at positions 26 to 635 of the family's 3401-position model. Lineage: Eukaryota; Fungi; Neocallimastigomycota; Neocallimastigomycetes; Neocallimastigales. The record is from RNAcentral.